GUUAACAUAGUUUAAGAAAAAUAUCAGACUGUGAAUCUGAAGAUAGGACAUAAGCAUCCUUGUUUACC
RNAcentral lists this transfer RNA (68 nucleotides) under Alexandromys limnophilus (Lacustrine vole). RNAcentral's name for it is "tRNA-His". It matches the Rfam family "tRNA". Rfam says of the family: Transfer RNA (tRNA) molecules are approximately 80 nucleotides in length. Lineage: Eukaryota; Metazoa; Chordata; Mammalia; Rodentia; Cricetidae. The record is from RNAcentral.